RNAcentral lists this ribosomal RNA (301 nucleotides) under uncultured bacterium. RNAcentral describes it as "partial 16S ribosomal RNA". It matches the Rfam family "Bacterial small subunit ribosomal RNA", at positions 509 to 807 of the family's 1533-position model. The record is from RNAcentral.
CAGUAGCCGCGGGAAAACGAGGGGAGCUAGCGUUAUUCGGAACUACUGGGCGUAAGGCGCACGUAGGCGGCUUUGUAAGUUAGAGGUGAAAGCCCAGAGCUCAACUCUGGAAUUGCCUUUAAGACUGCAUCGCUUGAAUCCAGGAGAGGUGAGUGGAAUUCCGAGUGUAGAGGUGAAAUUCGUAGAUAUCGGAAGGAACACCUGUGGCGAAAGCGGCUCACUGGACCAUAACUGACGCUGAUGCACGAAAGCUAGGGGAGCAAACAGGAUUAGAUACCCGCGUAGUCCCUGUCUCUUAUAC